AGAGGUGUAGCUCAGUGAGUGAGCAUGUGCCAUGUGCCUAGCAUCCAUAAGGCCCUGGGUUCAAUCCCCAGCACCACAA
Molecule: transfer RNA, 79 nt
Filed under: Mesocricetus auratus (golden hamster)
Lineage: Eukaryota; Metazoa; Chordata; Mammalia; Rodentia; Cricetidae
Rfam family: tRNA
About the family: Transfer RNA (tRNA) molecules are approximately 80 nucleotides in length. Their secondary structure includes four short double-helical elements and three loops (D, anti-codon, and T loops). Further hydrogen bonds mediate the characteristic L-shaped molecular structure. tRNAs have two regions of fundamental functional importance: the anti-codon, which is responsible for specific mRNA codon recognition, and the 3' end, to which the tRNAs corresponding amino acid is attached (by aminoacyl-tRNA synthetases). tRNAs cope with the degeneracy of the genetic code in two manners: having more than one tRNA (with a specific anti-codon) for a particular amino acid; and 'wobble' base-pairing, i.e. permitting non-standard base-pairing at the 3rd anti-codon position.
Source: Rfam by way of RNAcentral